UUUCUGCUCCAGGCACUUCCGUUUCCACUGCUGAAGAUGAUGAUGAGGAACUGGUAUUUGCUGCAUCACAAUGUGAAGCACAGAUAAAUACAGAAUUAUGUCACAUCUUGCCUCAAGCUGGAUGUAUGCUUUGAGCGCAUUUCUUCGAAACCGUAAGGAUGUUUAAAGAGACCUGUUCUGGUCCGUCUCCAUCAGCGGAAACAGCAAAAGCACCAGGUCUUCCACAUCAUCCACCACCAGCUGAGCUUCCAGUUCACUGGAAAGAUCAUCUUCCACCUUUCCAGCAUGAGUGGAUACGGAACACACUAUUUAAGGCCAACCCGCGAACCGGCAAGCCAGAACUAGUGUCCCAACUGAAGCUUUGGUGGUAUCCUCCUCAGGUCCCUUUAAUUCACACUCAGCCGCCCGCCUCACCUGACCUCUUCUUCUGUCGGCCCCUUUUCUUAUGGAUGCCGCUCAAGAUGUGGCGAUUUCCUCUUGUCUGUGUUCGACCAGACUGUGAU
Paramisgurnus dabryanus is the source of this 503-nucleotide non-coding RNA. The record is from RefSeq and is a predicted model, not a curated record. Lineage: Eukaryota; Metazoa; Chordata; Actinopteri; Cypriniformes; Cobitidae.